This 484-nucleotide ribosomal RNA is filed under the name uncultured bacterium. RNAcentral's name for it is "partial 16S ribosomal RNA". It matches the Rfam family "Bacterial small subunit ribosomal RNA", at positions 28 to 523 of the family's 1533-position model. The record is from RNAcentral.
GACGAACGCUGGCGGCGUGCUUAACACAUGCAAGUCGAACGAUGAAGCCGGAGCUUGCUCUGGUGAAUUAGUGGCGAACGGGUGAGUAACACGUGAGUAACCUGCCCUUGACUCUGGGAUAACUGCUAGAAAUGGUAGCUAAUACCGGAUUAGACCCUCGGAGGCAUCUCUAGGGGGUGGAAAGAAGUUCGGCCAAGGAUGGACUCGCGGCCUAUCAGCUAGUUGGUGAGGUAACGGCUCACCAAGGCGACGUCGGGUAGCCGGCCUGAGAGGGUGACCGGCCACACUGGAACUGAGACACGGCCCAGACUCCUACGGGAGGCAGCAGUGGGGAAUAUUGCACAAUGGGCGCAAGCCUGAUGCAGCAACGCCGCGUGAGGGAUGACGGCCUUCGGGUUGUAAACCUCUUUCAGCACCGACGAAGCGCAAGUGACGGUAGGUGCAGAAGAAGGACCGGCCAACUACGUGCCAGCAGCCGCCGUAA